This is a non-coding RNA of Podarcis lilfordi (Lilford's wall lizard), 71 nucleotides long. The record is from the annotation of a GenBank genome assembly. Lineage: Eukaryota; Metazoa; Chordata; Lepidosauria; Squamata; Lacertidae.
GAUCAGGGUCAGUUGGUUAGAGCAUGGUGCUGAUAACACCAAGGUUGCAGGUUCGAUUCUAGUGUGGGACA